This 379-nucleotide long non-coding RNA is filed under the name Homo sapiens (human). RNAcentral's name for it is "non-protein coding lnc-KCNG3-3:1". Lineage: Eukaryota; Metazoa; Chordata; Mammalia; Primates; Hominidae. The record is from RNAcentral.
AAAAUGACGAGCACCCAAAAUGUGUUCUCUAGGCCUUUUAGAAAACAUGGAGUUAAAAAAAGAAUGCCCCACAAGUGUUACCAUGGCAAAAGUGGAAGUCUGCAAUGCCACCCAGCAUGCUGUUGGCAUUGCUGUAAACAAACAAGGGCAAGGUUCUUGCUAAGAGAAUUAAUGUGCAUAUUGAGCACAUUAAGCACUCUCUGAGCUGAGAGAGCUUCCUGAAGCGCGUGAAGGAAAAUGGUCAGGAAAAAAAGAAGCCAAAGAGAAAGGUGCCUGGGUUCAACUGAAGUGCCAGCCAGCUCCACCCAGAGAAGCACACUGUGAGAGAACCAAUGGGAAGGAGCCCGAGCUGCUGGAACCCAUUCCCUAUGAGUUCAUG